Small nucleolar RNA from Raphanus sativus (radish), 86 nucleotides. RefSeq annotates it as small nucleolar RNA Z161/Z228. The record is from RefSeq and is a predicted model, not a curated record. NCBI's taxonomy places the organism in Eukaryota, Viridiplantae, Streptophyta, Magnoliopsida, Brassicales, Brassicaceae. The transcript has a single exon.
GAUUCAAUUGAUGAGAUUGGAUCUAAAAUUCUCACGACGGUCAUCUGAUUCUAGUAAUGCACCGAUCCUAAUAUUUUCCGAUGAUA